This 330-nucleotide ribosomal RNA is filed under the name Odontosyllis sp. GF-9150_27499. Its description in RNAcentral is "partial large subunit ribosomal RNA". It matches the Rfam family "Bacterial large subunit ribosomal RNA", at positions 1956 to 2532 of the family's 2925-position model. Lineage: Eukaryota; Metazoa; Annelida; Polychaeta; Phyllodocida; Syllidae. The record is from RNAcentral.
AUAAUCAUUUGCCUCCUAAUUAGAGGCUAGAAUGAAAGAAUAAACAUUUAUUUUCUGUCUCCUCAUAAAAAAUAAAAAUUUACCUUCAGGUGAAGAGGCCUGUAUAAUAAAAAACGACAAGAAGACCCUGUCAAGCUUUAUUGAUUUCUAUAUUUCCAAUAACAAAAAAUUUAGUUGGGGCAACAAAAAAUAAUAUAAAUCAUUUUUCAACAUAAGGUUUAUUCACCAAGUUAACAAACUUCUUCUAAAUAAAAAGAUAGCUACUGCAGGGAUAACAGGCUAAUACUUUUUGAGAGCUCUUAUCAACAAAAGUGAUUGGCACCUCGAUGU